AACGAACGCUGGCGGCAUGCCUAACACAUGCAAGUCGAACGAGACCUUCGGGUCUAGUGGCGCACGGGUGCGUAACGCGUGGGAACCUGCCCUUAGGUUCGGAAUAACUCCCCGAAAGGGGUGCUAAUACCGGAUAAUGUCUUCGGACCAAAGAUUUAUCGCCUUUGGGUGGGCCCGCGUUGGAUUAGCUAGUUGGUAGGGUAAAAGCCUACCAAGGCGACGAUCCAUAGCUGGUAUGAGAGGAUGAUCAGCCACACUGGGACUGAGACACGGCGCAGACAGCGACGGGAGGGAGCAGAGGGGAAUAAUGGACAAUGGGCGAAAGCAUGAACCAGAAAUGCCGGGUGAGUGAUGAAGGCCUUAGGGAUGUAAAGGUCUUUUAACGGGGAUGAUAAUGACAGAACCGGGAGAAUAAGAACCGGCUAACACCGG
Molecule: ribosomal RNA, 432 nt
Filed under: uncultured bacterium
Lineage: Bacteria
Description: partial 16S ribosomal RNA
Rfam family: Bacterial small subunit ribosomal RNA
Source: RNAcentral